RNAcentral lists this long non-coding RNA (288 nucleotides) under Marmota monax (woodchuck). Lineage: Eukaryota; Metazoa; Chordata; Mammalia; Rodentia; Sciuridae. The record is from RNAcentral.
CUUAGAGGUAAGUGAAAUUUCUCACCCUUGAGGAAGAGAGAAAGAAUGGGUGAACAUUUCAAAAAACAAUGUGUUAUUGUUUUGAUUUAUUUUGUUUUUAUUUCAAGUUGCCUGUUCCUAGAACUUUCUCAGGCAAACUGGGGAAAAUGGGUGACUCAAGGUUUGAAUUUGUUCGCCUCCGAGCAAGAGAAAUUGUUAGAGGAAGGAGGCACCCCAGUGAGACCAAGAACAAUUAGGGCAUAUGUUGAUACAAUACAAAAAUGUAGCCCAUGGCUUUUUAAAGACGAG